This 253-nucleotide ribosomal RNA is filed under the name uncultured bacterium. RNAcentral describes it as "partial 16S ribosomal RNA". It matches the Rfam family "Bacterial small subunit ribosomal RNA", at positions 524 to 776 of the family's 1533-position model. The record is from RNAcentral.
GACGUAGGGGGCGAGCGUUGUCCGGAUUUAUUGGGCGUAAAGCGUGCGUAGGCGGCUGCGCAAGUCGGUUGUGAAACCCCGGGGCUCAACCCCGGAACUGCAUCCGAUACUGCGUGGCUAGAGGUAGGUAGGGGAGAUCGGAAUUCCUGGUGUAGCGGUGAAAUGCGCAGAUAUCAGGAGGAACACCGGUGGCGAAGGCGGGUCUCUGGGCCGAUACUGACGCUGAGGCGCGAAAGCGUGGGGAGCAAACAGG